RNAcentral lists this long non-coding RNA (237 nucleotides) under Lathyrus oleraceus (garden pea). Its description in RNAcentral is "Pisum sativum (pea) long non-coding RNA (PSAT_LNC002588)". The record is from RNAcentral. Lineage: Eukaryota; Viridiplantae; Streptophyta; Magnoliopsida; Fabales; Fabaceae.
AGUAUGCUAAUACUGUGAUUUAUUAUUUGGCAUGAUAUGAUAUGAUUCUGUGAUAAACAUGCUGAUGAUGUAUGAUGGUAUGCAUAAUGCUGUGAAUGUAUCUGUUAUGUAUGCAAUUAUGAAUGGACUGUUUAUGGCUUAGAGUGUGAGCAUAUGUCUAUCUUGGAUUGUUGUUGAUGUUUGCAUGCUAGGUGAUUUAGCGUGUAUAGCAUGGCCUUUAUGGUGGUAGCUAAUUCC